This 621-nucleotide ribosomal RNA is filed under the name Megarthrus sp. QH33. RNAcentral describes it as "partial large subunit ribosomal RNA". It matches the Rfam family "Eukaryotic large subunit ribosomal RNA", at positions 682 to 1265 of the family's 3401-position model. Lineage: Eukaryota; Metazoa; Arthropoda; Insecta; Coleoptera; Staphylinidae. The record is from RNAcentral.
GUGCGCGAGUCAUUGGGACUCACGAACCUAAAGGCAAAAUGAAAGUAAAGGCCUGCGCUCGCGCGGGCCGAGGGAGGAUGGGCCGCGUCAAGAUGUGGCCCCGCACUCCCGGGGCGUCUCAUUCUCAUUACGAGAAGAGGCGCACCCAGAGCGCACAUGCUGGGACCCGAAAGAUGGUGAACUAUGCCUGGUCAGGACGAAGUCAGGGGAAACCCUGAUGGAGGUCCGUAGCGAUUCUGACGUGCAAAUCGAUCGUCGGAACUGGGUAUAGGGGCGAAAGACUAAUCGAACUAUCUAGUAGCUGGUUCCCUCCGAAGUUUCCCUCAGGAUAGCUGGCGCUCGCUUUGCGAGUCUCAUCCGGUAAAGCGAAUGAUUAGAGGCAUUGGGGUCGAAACGGCCUCAACCUAUUCUCAAACUUUAAAUGGGUGAGAUCUCCGGCUUGCUUGAACGUGAAGCCGCGAGAUUUCGGAUCAGAGUGCCAAGUGGGCCACUUUUGGUAAGCAGAACUGGCGCUGUGGGAUGAACCAAACGCCGAGUUAAAGCGCCUAAAUUGACGCUUAUGGGAUACCAUGAAAGGCGUUGGUAACUUAUGACAGUAGGUCGGUGGCCAUGGAAGUCGAA